Small nuclear RNA from Ictidomys tridecemlineatus (thirteen-lined ground squirrel), 168 nucleotides. Its record names the gene U1. It matches the Rfam family "U1 spliceosomal RNA". Rfam says of the family: U1 is a small nuclear RNA (snRNA) component of the spliceosome (involved in pre-mRNA splicing). Its 5' end forms complementary base pairs with the 5' splice junction, thus defining the 5' donor site of an intron. There are significant differences in sequence and secondary structure between metazoan and yeast U1 snRNAs, the latter being much longer (568 nucleotides as compared to 164 nucleotides in human). NCBI's taxonomy places the organism in Eukaryota, Metazoa, Chordata, Mammalia, Rodentia, Sciuridae. The record is from Ensembl.
AUACUCACCUGGCAAGGGAGAUGCUAUGGUCACAAAAGUGAUUUUUCCAGGAUGAGGUUUAUCCACUACACUCCAGAGAGCCUGACCCCUGUGAUUUUCCCAGAUGUGAAAAAGCUGGCAGCAUAAUUUUUGGUAGUGGGGGACUGUGUGUGUUUGUGUUUUCCCAUG